AGAGUUUGAUCAUGGCUCAGAUUGAACGCUGGCGGCAUGCCUAACACAUGCAAGUCGAACGGCAGCACAGUAUGUAGCAAUACAUAUGGGUGGCGAGUGGCGGACGGGUGCGUAAUAUGUAGGGAUCUGCCUUGAAGUGGGGGACAACCCGGGGAAACCCGGGCUAAUACCGCAUAAUACUCUACGGAGGAAAUCUGGCACGCAAGUGCUGGGGCUUUAAGAUGAACCUACAUCCGAUUAGCUAGUUGGUGAGGUAAUGGCUCACCAAGGCAAUGAUCGGUAACUGGUCUGAGAGGAUGACCAGUCACACUGGGACUGAGACACGGCCCAGACUCCUACGGGAGGCAGCAGUGGGGAAUAUUGGACAAUGGGGGAAACCCUGAUCCAGCAAUGCCGCGUGGGUGAAGAAGGCCUUCGGGUUGUAAAGCCCUUUAGGCGGGGAAGAAGGUUAUAGGGUGAUAAGCCUUAUAACUUGACGGUACCCGCAGAAUAAGCACCGGCUAACUCUGUGCCAGCAGCCGCGGUAAUACAGAGGGUGCGAGCGUUAAUCGGAUUUACUGGGCGUAAAGGGCGCGUAGGUGGCAAAGCAAGUAAGAUGUGAAAGCCCUGGGCUUAACCUGGGAAGUGCAUCUUAAACUGCUUAGCUAGAGUAUGGUAGAGGGUAGUGGAAUUUCCGGUGUAGCGGUGAAAUGCGUAGAGAUCGGAAGGAACGCCAGUGGUGAAGACGACUACCUGGACCAAUACUGACACUGAGGCGCGAAAGCGUGGGGAUCAAACAGGAUUAGAUACCCUAGUAGUCC
This 800-nucleotide ribosomal RNA is filed under the name uncultured bacterium. RNAcentral's name for it is "bacterial SSU rRNA". It matches the Rfam family "Bacterial small subunit ribosomal RNA", at positions 8 to 796 of the family's 1533-position model. The record is from RNAcentral.